Molecule: long non-coding RNA, 1188 nt
Organism: Acinonyx jubatus (cheetah)
Lineage: Eukaryota; Metazoa; Chordata; Mammalia; Carnivora; Felidae
Exons: 3
Source: RefSeq, a predicted model, not a curated record
AGUAGGAGUUAGGGGUAGCGUUGGGACUAGAAUCCCGGCGCUCUGAUGUCCAGUUCAACAGGAUUCUGCACCCCAACCUCCCUCACCUUCAAAUGACCCAUGGGUGAUGACAAAAUCUUGCACACCCAUUUUCUCAGCCUUACGGCGAUCCUGCACUCAAGGCUGUUGCUGGACCAAAGGCGGCCUGCUUCUUGGUGAGCUAGAGACCGAGGCUACGCUGGGCGGAGGUCACUGUAUUUGUACAAACAAGGAGAUCACUGGGGAAUGGUUUCCAGAGCUGGGACGCCCCGGCAGCAGUAAGGGCUUGAGAUGAAUAUUCAGACGGGGGUUUUAACAUUCUAAUGAAGCUGAGGUCACUGUCAGGGAAUUUCGGAUUCACCCGGCAGGCGUGGUCCUCGAACGUUUCUUCGUUUCUAAAAGAUGAUAAGCAGAAGCUUCUAGGGCUUUUCUGAGUUUAGGAGGUCAGUCAGGGCAUCACUCCUGAGCUCAGGGGGUCAAGGGGUCACCGGUGACACGGCCUGGACGGGGAACUAAGAAACCCAGGCCCAGAAGAAUUUCAGCUGUGUGCCGCCCACUUACCUGCCCCAAAUGCCUGGGAUGGUUGGAGGUGAAGGUGUAAGGCCUGACACCCGGUCCUGACAGAGAGAGAAAGAGAGCACGAACGGGGGAGGAGCAGAGAGAGAGGGAGACCCAGAAUUCGAAGCGGGCUCCAGGCCCCGAGCUGUCAGCCCAGAGCCCGACGCGGGGCUCGAACCCACGGACCGCGAGAUCAUGACCUGAGCCGAAGUCAGACGCUUAACCGACUGAGCCACCCAGGCGCCCAGACAGUUAUCUUCCCUUUUCCCUGCUUCCCCAUCACCUUCCCGGAACCCAGAGAUGCCCUGUUAGCCCUCCUCUCCCAGUCCAAAGAGCGGGUCUGCAGUUCCAGAAGGGCCUUGAGCAAGAAGCAUCCCAGCCAGGACUUCAAAUCUGCAUAAUUUAUCCACACACAGAGCCACUUCUGCAACCCAAGAUGCCACUCCUGAACGGCUGCCCAGAGAGCUCACGCUGCCAAAUCUUCCAGAAGACUCCUCAUCACGGACCCACAGAGAGCAGGAGGACGCCCUGUGGCCGUAACCCUCAGCGUUCCUUCGUCCAGUCAGCCUGCUGCGAUCCAGCGCUCAUGACGGCUCACAGAGGGCACAGGGG